UUGUCUUUUAAAUAAAGACCAGUAUGAAUGGCAAGACGAAAGUUCAACUGUCUCCCUAAAUUAAUCAGUGAAAUUGAUCUUUCCGUGCAGAAGCGGAAAUACAACUAUAAGACGAGAAGACCCUAUGGAGCUUUAAAUAUAUAAUCAAUUGUAAAACAUAAAAUCCGAAAGACUAAAUAUAAAAUAAGACAAUAUGAUUAAAAUUUUAGGUUGGGGCGACCACGGAGAAAAACAAAACCUCCGAGAUGAAGAGAAUAUCUUAACUCAAGAACUACAGUUCUAAAAAAUAAAAUAUUUAACAUAAUUGAUCCAAUACUUUGAUCAACGGACCAAGUUACCCUAGGGAUAACAGCGCAAUCCUCUCCAAGAGUCCUUAUCGACGAGUGGGUUUACGACCUCGAUGUUGGAUCAGGACACCCCAAUGGUGCAGCCGCUAUUAAAGGUUCGUUUGUUCAACGAUUAAAGU
This 466-nucleotide ribosomal RNA is filed under the name Hynobius maoershanensis. RNAcentral describes it as "partial 16S ribosomal RNA". It matches the Rfam family "Bacterial large subunit ribosomal RNA", at positions 1969 to 2594 of the family's 2925-position model. Lineage: Eukaryota; Metazoa; Chordata; Amphibia; Caudata; Hynobiidae. The record is from RNAcentral.